GACGAACGCUGGCGGCGUGCUUAACACAUGCAAGUCGAACGGAAAGGCCCUGCUUUUGUGGGGUGCUCGAGUGGCGAACGGGUGAGUAACACGUGAGUAACCUGCACUUGACUUUGGGGUAACUUCAGGAAACUGGGGCUAAUACCGGAUAGGAGCUCCUGCUGCAUGGUGGGGGUUGGAGAGUUUCGGCGGUUGGGGAUGGACUCGCGGCUUAUCAGCUUGUUGGUGGGGUAGUGGCUUACCAAGGCUUUGACGGGUAGCCGGCAUGGGAAGGGGACCGGCCACAAUGGGACUGAGAUACGGACCAGACUCCUACGGGCGGCAACAGUGGGGAAUAUUGCACAAUGGGCGGAAGCCUGAUGCAGCAACGCCGCGUGCGGGAUGACCGCCUUCGGGUUGUAAACCGCUUUCGCCUGUGCCGAAGCGUGAGUGACGGUAACGGGUAAAGAAGCAACGGCUAACUACGUG
RNAcentral lists this ribosomal RNA (468 nucleotides) under uncultured bacterium. Its description in RNAcentral is "partial 16S ribosomal RNA". It matches the Rfam family "Bacterial small subunit ribosomal RNA", at positions 28 to 507 of the family's 1533-position model. The record is from RNAcentral.